UAAAGUUGGAAGUUUCUAUUCUUGGAGGUUUCCAUUUUCGUGAGUUUCUAUUCUCGGCUUUGGGCUUUUAGAUGACUUAAACCCUAAUUCCUUGUGAACCCUAAGCCCAAGCCGCACCCUAGGCCUUUUCCCAUGCAAAAAUCUGAUUGUAAACCCUAAUUCCUUGUGGAUUUUCUAACCCUAGCCGCACCUAAACCCUAGCCCAUUGUCUAACCUGAUUUCUUUAGGGUUUUAGGUGCCUAUAUAUAUGUGUUUUACAUCCUUUGGCCGGAUAUCACCCUCUCCAUAAUUCAGAAAUUCGUCCAGCCACUUCCCACUCUGUGCCGCAGCCAUUCUACAACUCCAGCCACCAUUCUACACUUCCAUACACCAUUCUACACCUCCAUACACCACCCAUACCCCUUGCCGCACCACCAUACCAUCCUAACUCCCUUCUAAAACCAAAAUCACAUCCAAAAACACCCUAAACCCUCUCUGCCGCAGCAAGGAGAAGAAGAAAGAGGAGCUUGAAGUCAGAAAUUCAAAGUGGAAUUCGUGGGUGUUUUAGGUGUAAUCUUUCUUAUGUCUUCGAUGUUUCAAUUCAAUAAACUUUGUGUUGUGAGUAUGAGGAACUAAACCCCCUUGGUUGGGGGGUAAUUCGAAACCAUGUACAUGCUUGCAAUUUGAUUCGAUUACAUUCAGUUGUUGUUUCAUAAGUUGUGGAUUCAAUUCGUUCAUCUAUUUGAUUGAUAACUUAUUUGUGUAUGUUGAUUGAGAGUGCA
This 761-nucleotide long non-coding RNA is filed under the name Malus domestica (apple). RNAcentral describes it as "long non-coding RNA (MDOM_LNC020639)". Lineage: Eukaryota; Viridiplantae; Streptophyta; Magnoliopsida; Rosales; Rosaceae. The record is from RNAcentral.